UAGUGGCGACGGGUGAGUACGCGUAAGCAAUCUGCCCCUAAGACGAGGAUAACAGUUGGAAACGACCGCUAAGACUGGAUAGGAGACAAGAAGGCAUCUUCUUGUUUUUAAAAGACCUAGCAAUAGGUAUGCUUAGGGAGGAGCUUGCGUCACAUUAGUUAGUUGGUGGGGUAAAGGCCUACCAAGACUAUGAUGUGUAGCCGGGCUGAGAGGUUGAACGGCCACAUUGGGACUGAGACACGGCCCAAACUCCUACGGGAGGCAGCAGUAGGGAAUUUUCGGCAAUGGAGGAAACUCUGACCGAGCAACGCCGCGUGAACGAUGAAGUAUUUCGGUACGUAAAGUUCUUUUAUUAGGGAAGAAUAAAUGAUGGAAAAAUCAUUCUGACGGUACCUAAUGAAUAAGCCCCGGCUAACUAUGUGCCAGCAGCCGCGGUAAUACAUAGGGGGCAAGCGUUAUCCGGAAUUAUUGGGCGUAAAGGGUGCGUAGGCGGUUAAAUAAGUUUAUGGUCUAAGUGCAAUGCUCAACAUUGUGAUGCUAUAAAAACUGUUUAGCUAGAGUAAGAUAGAGGCAAGUGGAAUUCCAUGUGUAGUGGUAAAAUGCGUAAAUAUAUGGAGGAACACCAGUAGCGAAGGCGGCUUGCUGGGUCUUUACUGACGCUGAGGCACGAAAGCGUGGGGAGCAAACAGGAUUAGAUACCCUGGUAGUCCACGCCGUAAACGAUGAGUACUAAACGUUGGGUAAAACCAGUGUUGAAGUUAACACAUUAAGUACUCCGCCUGAGUAGUACGUACGCAAGUAUGAAACUUAAAGGAAUUGACGGGACUCCGCACAAGCGGUGGAUCAUGUUGUUUAAUUCGAAGGUACCCGAAAAACCUCACCAGGUCUUGACAUGCUCCUGCAAAGCUGUAGAAACACAGUGGAGGUUAUCAGUUGCACAGGUGGUGCAUGGUUGUCGUCAGCUCGUGUCGUGAGAUGUUGGGUUAAGUCCCGCAACGAGCGCAACCCUUAUUGUUAGUUACCAGCACGUAAUGGGGGGGACUUUACCAAGACUGCCAGUGAUGAAUUGGAAGAAAGGUGGGGACGACGUCAAAUCAUCAUGCCCCUUAUGACCUGGGCUACAAACGUGA
Molecule: ribosomal RNA, 1130 nt
Filed under: Leafhopper (Deltocephalinae) aster yellows phytoplasma
Lineage: Bacteria; Bacillati; Mycoplasmatota; Mollicutes; Acholeplasmatales; Acholeplasmataceae
Description: bacterial SSU rRNA
Rfam family: Bacterial small subunit ribosomal RNA
Source: RNAcentral